This 588-nucleotide ribosomal RNA is filed under the name uncultured bacterium. RNAcentral describes it as "bacterial SSU rRNA". It matches the Rfam family "Bacterial small subunit ribosomal RNA", at positions 338 to 916 of the family's 1533-position model. The record is from RNAcentral.
CCUACGGGAGGCAGCAGUAGGGAAUCUUCCGCAAUGGACGAAAGUCUGACGGAGCAACGCCGCGUGAGUGAUGAAGGUUUUCGGAUCGUAAAGCUCUGUUGUUAGGGAAGAACAAGUGCCGUUCGAAUAGGGCGGCACCUUGACGGUACCUAACCAGAAAGCCACGGCUAACUACGUGCCAGCAGCCGCGGUAAUACGUAGGUGGCAAGCGUUGUCCGGAAUUAUUGGGCGUAAAGCGCGCGCAGGUGGUUCCUUAAGUCUGAUGUGAAAGCCCACGGCUCAACCGUGGAGGGUCAUUGGAAACUGGGGGACUUGAGUGCAGAAGAGGAAAGUGGAAUUCCAAGUGUAGCGGUGAAAUGCGUAGAUAUUUGGAGGAACACCAGUGGCGAAGGCGACUUUCUGGUCUGUAACUGACACUGAGGCGCGAAAGCGUGGGGAGCAAACAGGAUUAGAUACCCUGGUAGUCCACGCCGUAAACGAUGAGUGCUAAGUGUUAGGGGGUUUCCGCCCCUUAGUGCUGCAGCUAACGCAUUAAGCACUCCGCCUGGGGAGUACGGUCGCAAGACUGAAACUCAAAGGAAUUGACGG